This 1422-nucleotide ribosomal RNA is filed under the name Klebsiella sp. CCFM8377. RNAcentral's name for it is "bacterial SSU rRNA". It matches the Rfam family "Bacterial small subunit ribosomal RNA". Lineage: Bacteria; Pseudomonadati; Pseudomonadota; Gammaproteobacteria; Enterobacterales; Enterobacteriaceae. The record is from RNAcentral.
UACACAUGCAGUCGAGCGGUAGCACAGAGAGCUUGCUCUCGGGUGACGAGCGGCGGACGGGUGAGUAAUGUCUGGGAAACUGCCUGAUGGAGGGGGAUAACUACUGGAAACGGUAGCUAAUACCGCAUAAUGUCGCAAGACCAAAGUGGGGGACCUUCGGGCCUCAUGCCAUCAGAUGUGCCCAGAUGGGAUUAGCUAGUAGGUGGGGUAACGGCUCACCUAGGCGACGAUCCCUAGCUGGUCUGAGAGGAUGACCAGCCACACUGGAACUGAGACACGGUCCAGACUCCUACGGGAGGCAGCAGUGGGGAAUAUUGCACAAUGGGCGCAAGCCUGAUGCAGCCAUGCCGCGUGUGUGAAGAAGGCCUUCGGGUUGUAAAGCACUUUCAGCGGGGAGGAAGGCGUUAAGGUUAAUAACCUUGUCGAUUGACGUUACCCGCAGAAGAAGCACCGGCUAACUCCGUGCCAGCAGCCGCGGUAAUACGGAGGGUGCAAGCGUUAAUCGGAAUUACUGGGCGUAAAGCGCACGCAGGCGGUCUGUCAAGUCGGAUGUGAAAUCCCCGGGCUCAACCUGGGAACUGCAUUCGAAACUGGCAGGCUAGAGUCUUGUAGAGGGGGGUAGAAUUCCAGGUGUAGCGGUGAAAUGCGUAGAGAUCUGGAGGAAUACCGGUGGCGAAGGCGGCCCCCUGGACAAAGACUGACGCUCAGGUGCGAAAGCGUGGGGAGCAAACAGGAUUAGAUACCCUGGUAGUCCACGCCGUAAACGAUGUCGAUUUGGAGGUUGUGCCCUUGAGGCGUGGCUUCCGGAGCUAACGCGUUAAAUCGACCGCCUGGGGAGUACGGCCGCAAGGUUAAAACUCAAAUGAAUUGACGGGGGCCCGCACAAGCGGUGGAGCAUGUGGUUUAAUUCGAUGCAACGCGAAGAACCUUACCUGGUCUUGACAUCCACAGAACUUUCCAGAGAUGGAUUGGUGCCUUCGGGAACUGUGAGACAGGUGCUGCAUGGCUGUCGUCAGCUCGUGUUGUGAAAUGUUGGGUUAAGUCCCGCAACGAGCGCAACCCUUAUCCUUUGUUGCCAGCGGUUAGGCCGGGAACUCAAAGGAGACUGCCAGUGAUAAACUGGAGGAAGGUGGGGAUGACGUCAAGUCAUCAUGGCCCUUACGACCAGGGCUACACACGUGCUACAAUGGCAUAUACAAAGAGAAGCGACCUCGCGAGAGCAAGCGGACCUCAUAAAGUAUGUCGUAGUCCGGAUUGGAGUCUGCAACUCGACUCCAUGAAGUCGGAAUCGCUAGUAAUCGUAGAUCAGAAUGCUACGGUGAAUACGUUCCCGGGCCUUGUACACACCGCCCGUCACACCAUGGGAGUGGGUUGCAAAAGAAGUAGGUAGCUUAACCUUCGGGAGGGCGCUACCACUUGGAU